UAUUGGUCAAUGGACGAGAGUCUGAACCAGCCAAGUAGCGUGAAGGAUGACUGCCCUAUGGGNUGUAAACUUCUUUUAUAUGGGANNCCNNNANGGUAUGCAUACCCUCUUGUAUGUACCAUAUGAAUAANNNUNGNCUAACUCCGUGCCAGCAGCCGCGGUAAUACGGGGGAUGCAAGCGUUAUCCGGAUUUAUUGGGUUUAAAGGGUGCGUAGGCUGUGAGGUAAGUCAGCGGUGAAAUGCCCCCGCUCAACGGGGUGAAGUGCCAUUGAUACUGCCUUGCUGGAAUGCGGAUGCCGUGGGAGGAAUGUGUGGUGUAGCGGUGAAAUGCAUAGAUAUCACACAGAACACCGAUUGCGAAGGCAUCUCACGAAUCCGCGAUUGACGCUGAUGCACGAAAGCGUGGGUAUCAAAC
This 415-nucleotide ribosomal RNA is filed under the name uncultured bacterium. Its description in RNAcentral is "partial 16S ribosomal RNA". It matches the Rfam family "Bacterial small subunit ribosomal RNA", at positions 362 to 773 of the family's 1533-position model. The record is from RNAcentral.